GCGCCAAGCAGGAGCCUUGAAGUUGCCCAACAGUACUGAGCACCAGCAUACCAGACUGAGCAGGCACACAACUUGCCUUGUCAUAGCCUUCCCUGCUGUGACAUUUUGACUUUUUGAACUGCUAACACAUCAGCCCUUAUCAAUGAAAGUAAUAUACUGUAUUAGUGUAUGCCUGUUAAGUCACAAGGCCACUGAAGAAGACUCUUUGUCAAAACACGUUUAGCUGUACUCUGUUUUUGUAUUGUAUAGGCAUUGAUUUAUAAUUACCAUCUGCAGAAUGUUAUGGCUGUAUUCUGUUUUUUUGUAUUUCAUCUUAUAUGGGCAUUAAUUCAAUACCACAUGCAGAAUUUUAGCAGUGAUUUUAUAUUGGUUCUAUA
This is a long non-coding RNA of Rhineura floridana, 377 nucleotides long. RefSeq lists it as uncharacterized. Lineage: Eukaryota; Metazoa; Chordata; Lepidosauria; Squamata; Rhineuridae. The transcript is spliced from 3 exons. The record is from RefSeq and is a predicted model, not a curated record.